UUAACAUGCAGUCGAACGGCAGCACGGGCUUCGGCCUGGUGGCGAGUGGCGAACGGGUGAGUAAUACAUCGGAACGUGCCCUGACGUGGGGGAUAACUAGUCGAAAGAUUAGCUAACACCGCAUACGACCCGAGGGUGAAAGCGGGGGACCGGUAACGGCCUCGCGCGACAGGAGCGGCCGAUGUCUGAUUAGCUAGUUGGUGGGGUAAGAGCCUACCAAGGCGACUAUCAGUAGCUGGUCUGAGAGGAUGAUCAGCCACACUGGGACUGAGACACGGCCCAGACUCCUACGGGGGGCAGCAGUGGGGAAUUUUGGACAAUGGGGGCAACCCUGAUCCAGCAAUACCGCGUGGGUGAAGAAGGCCUUCGGGUUGUAAAGCCCUUUUGUCCGGAAAGAAAUACCGCUGGUUAAUACCCGGCGUCGAUGACGGUACCGGAAGAAUAAGCACCGGCUAACUUCGUGCCAGCAGCCGCGGUAAUACGUAGGGUGCAAGCGUUAAUCGGAAUUACUGGGCGUAAAGCGUGCGCAGGCGGUUUGAUAAGUCUGGCGUGAAAUCCCCGAGCUCAACUUGGGAAUGGCGCUUGAGACUGUCACGCUAGAGUGUGUCAGAGGGAGGUAGAAUUCCAGGUGUAGCAGUGAAAUGCGUAGAGAUGUGAAGGAAUACCGAUGGCGAAGGCAGCCCCCUGGGACCAUCACUGACACUCAUGCACGAAAAGCGUGGGGAGCAAACAGGGAUUAGAUACCCUGGUAGUCCACGCCCCUAAACGAUGUCAACUAGUUGUUUGGGG
Molecule: ribosomal RNA, 789 nt
Filed under: bacterium enrichment culture clone aHCH4_D1
Lineage: Bacteria
Description: bacterial SSU rRNA
Rfam family: Bacterial small subunit ribosomal RNA
Source: RNAcentral